UUGGAUGAUGGGAUAGGA
This 18-nucleotide unclassified non-coding RNA is filed under the name Mus musculus (house mouse). RNAcentral's name for it is "oocyte_clustered_small_RNA8278". Lineage: Eukaryota; Metazoa; Chordata; Mammalia; Rodentia; Muridae. The record is from RNAcentral.